RNAcentral lists this ribosomal RNA (451 nucleotides) under uncultured Fibrobacter sp. RNAcentral's name for it is "bacterial SSU rRNA". It matches the Rfam family "Bacterial small subunit ribosomal RNA", at positions 341 to 792 of the family's 1533-position model. Lineage: Bacteria; Pseudomonadati; Fibrobacterota; Fibrobacteria; Fibrobacterales; Fibrobacteraceae. The record is from RNAcentral.
ACGGGAGGCAGCAGUAGGGAAUAUUGCACAAUGGGGGAAACCCUGAUGCAGCAACGCCACGUGUGGGAAGAAGCAUUUCGGUGUGUAAACCACUGUCGUGAGGGAAUAAUGCUUGGUCUCGGCCAAGUUGAAUGUACCUCGAAAGGAAGCACCGGCAAACUUCGUGCCAGCAGCCGCGGUAAUACGAGGGGUGCAAGCGUUGUUCGGAAUCACUGGGCGUAAAGGGAGCGCAGGCGGAGAUGCAAGCAGUCUGUACAAUACCGGGGCCCAACCCCGGACCUGCAGACUGGACUGUUUCUCUUGGAUAGUUCAGGGGCAAGCGGAAUUCCUGGUGUAGCGGUGGAAUGCGUAGAGAUCAGGAAGAACACCGAUGGCGAAGGCAGCUUGCUGGGGACUUAUCGACGCUCAUGCUCGAAAGUGCGGGUAGCAAACAGGAUUAGAUACCCUGGUA